RNAcentral lists this ribosomal RNA (496 nucleotides) under uncultured bacterium. Its description in RNAcentral is "partial 16S ribosomal RNA". It matches the Rfam family "Bacterial small subunit ribosomal RNA", at positions 28 to 507 of the family's 1533-position model. The record is from RNAcentral.
GAUGAACGCUGCGGCGUGCCUAAUACAUGCAAGUCGAGCGAACGGACGAGAAGCUUGCUUUUCUGAUGUUAGCGGCGGACAGGUGAGUAACACGUGGAUAACCUACCUAUAAGACUGGGAUAACUUCGGGAAACCGGAGCUAAUACCGGAUAAUAUUUUGAACCGCAUGGUUCAAAAGUGAAAGACGGUCUUGCUGUCACUUAUAGAUGGAUCCGCGCUGCAUUAGCUAGUUGGUAAGGUAACGGCUUACCAAGGCAACGAUGCAUAGCCGACCUGAGAGGGUGAUCGGCCACACUGGAACUGAGACACGGUCCAGACUCCUACGGGAGGCAGCAGUAGGGAAUCUUCCGCAAUGGGCGAAAGCCUGACGGAGCAACGCCGCGUGAGUGAUGAAGGUCUUCGGAUCGUAAAACUCUGUUAUUAGGGAAGAACAUAUGUGUAAGUAACUGUGCACAUCUUGACGGUACCUAAUCAGAAAGCCACGGCUAACUACGUG